Molecule: ribosomal RNA, 253 nt
Filed under: uncultured bacterium
Lineage: Bacteria
Description: partial 16S ribosomal RNA
Rfam family: Bacterial small subunit ribosomal RNA
Source: RNAcentral
UACGAAGGGGGCUAGCGUUGCUCGGAUUUACUGGGCGUAAAGGGCGCGUAGGCGGACAGUUUAGUCAGAGGUGAAAGCCCGGGGCUCAACCUCGGAAUUGCCUUUGAUACUGGCUGUCUUGAGUACGGGAGAGGUGUGUGGAACUCCGAGUGUAGAGGUGAAAUUCGUAGAUAUUCGGAAGAACACCAGUGGCGAAGGCGACACACUGGCCCGUUACUGACGCUGAGGCGCGAAAGCGUGGGGAGCGAACAGG